Molecule: RNase P RNA, 269 nt
Filed under: human gut metagenome
Description: Bacterial RNase P class A
Rfam family: Bacterial RNase P class A
About the family: Ribonuclease P (RNase P) is a ubiquitous endoribonuclease, found in archaea, bacteria and eukarya as well as chloroplasts and mitochondria. Its best characterised activity is the generation of mature 5'-ends of tRNAs by cleaving the 5'-leader elements of precursor-tRNAs.
Source: RNAcentral
AAGGAUAACGGGUAACGCCCGCCAGGGGUGACCCUCGGACAAGUGCAACAGAAAUAUACCGCCGAGAAAUCGGUAAGGGUGGAAAAGUGAGGUAAGAGCUCACUCGUCACACGGAGACGUGCCGACGCUGUAAACUCUAUCCGGAGCAACGCCGUGGGAGGACACAUGAUUGGCCCGAUCGUCCUCAGGGGGCGGCUUGAGCCUGCCGGCAACGACAGGUUUAGAUAGAUGGUCGUUUAAGACAGAACCCGGCUUACAGACUCGCUCGA